RNAcentral lists this ribosomal RNA (701 nucleotides) under Streptomyces atrovirens. RNAcentral's name for it is "bacterial SSU rRNA". It matches the Rfam family "Bacterial small subunit ribosomal RNA", at positions 54 to 771 of the family's 1533-position model. The record is from RNAcentral. Lineage: Bacteria; Bacillati; Actinomycetota; Actinomycetes; Kitasatosporales; Streptomycetaceae.
CAUGCAAGUCGAACGAUGAACCACUUCGGUGGGGAUUAGUGGCGAACGGGUGAGUAACACGUGGGCAAUCUGCCCUGCACUCUGGGACAAGCCCUGGAAACGGGGUCUAAUACCGGAUACUGACCUGCCUGGGCAUCCAGGCGGUUCGAAAGCUCCGGCGGUGCAGGAUGAGCCCGCGGCCUAUCAGCUUGUUGGUGAGGUAACGGCUCACCAAGGCGACGACGGGUAGCCGGCCUGAGAGGGCGACCGGCCACACUGGGACUGAGACACGGCCCAGACUCCUACGGGAGGCAGCAGUGGGGAAUAUUGCACAAUGGGCGCAAGCCUGAUGCAGCGACGCCGCGUGAGGGAUGACGGCCUUCGGGUUGUAAACCUCUUUCAGCAGGGAAGAAGCGCAAGUGACGGUACCUGCAGAAGAAGCGCCGGCUAACUACGUGCCAGCAGCCGCGGUAAUACGUAGGGCGCGAGCGUUGUCCGGAAUUAUUGGGCGUAAAGAGCUCGUAGGCGGCUUGUCGCGUCGGUUGUGAAAGCCCGGGGCUUAACCCCGGGUCUGCAGUCGAUACGGGCAGGCUAGAGUUCGGUAGGGGAGAUCGGAAUUCCUGGUGUAGCGGUGAAAUGCGCAGAUAUCAGGAGGAACACCGGUGGCGAAGGCGGAUCUCUGGGCCGAUACUGACGCUGAGGAGCGAAAGCGUGGGGAGCAA